UUGGAAAACAAACAGCUCCUACUAGCUGUCCCAAUAGAUCAUCCAUCCUGCAUGGGAAAUACCUGCCCUUGGUAGUGACCUUGGUCGACUGCUUACAGUCGUUACAAAGUCUCAAGGAUCUACCCUUCGUUUCCCACAACAACACUGGAACACUCCAGGGUAAGGUACUAGGUCGGAUAAAACCCUUAUCUACCAAGCCUCACCUCUAUUCUGACAACUCUCAACUACAGGUGCCAUCCUAUAGGGAAGGACAGAAAUGG
Molecule: long non-coding RNA, 260 nt
Filed under: Manihot esculenta (cassava)
Lineage: Eukaryota; Viridiplantae; Streptophyta; Magnoliopsida; Malpighiales; Euphorbiaceae
Description: long non-coding RNA (MESC_LNC003382)
Source: RNAcentral